GGGCGGAUCUCCAAUCCUGAGUGUCUAGGGCCUUGUCUUGUGUUUCCUCAAGCCAGGCCGUGCUCACCUGUGGCGCUCACCACAAUACUGGCUACACGCCAGGUCUGCUGCUCCUGGGAGCCCUGUUUUCAUGAACACCUGGGCUCACUCUCCCUGUUUGCCUCCCUCAGACCCUAAGUUUGUAGAGCUUGGGGCUGAGAUCCCCCAGCGAAUUUGCUUGCCCUCCUGUAGCCACGCCCCCGGUAGCUGGUGCAAGAGACCUCAGUUGUCAGCACUGGUGGGAGCGGUAGCCGGGAGUUCCGCGCCGCGAGUCCCGCGCCACUCCUGAUUCCCUCGGUCUGGUUAUUGCGUUCACAGGAGAGCUGGGAGUGGCCCUUAAGGUUUCCCCGCUGUGUGGAGAGAGAUGGCUAGGGGAUUACACACCUGUCGCGCUGGUUUCAAUGCAGUUAUCUCCUCCGCCCGUGACGCCAUUUCUCUGCCAUGGUGAUAUCCCAUGCAAAUGGUGACCGUUUGUUCCCUUUGCCGGGUGACCAAUGCAACGGGUGGGUCCUGACUGUCUCUCCCAAUCCCCGUUUCAGUCCUGUGGCCACUGCCUAUGAAGGCUCGGUUGGCUUUUACCUCUGUAAGUUCCUAAGGGCCGGCCAAUUAUUUCAGCGGGAUCGUUAGUGCUGAGUCACACGAAGCAGGCGAACCGGAGCUUAAUUGCCUCCGAUUCGGGCUCUGUGUGUGUGUUCUGAGGGGCCCAGCCUGUACACCCCAGAUCCACGUCAGCUCAGCAUUGCCUAGUGAUCCUGAGCAAACAGCAUUUAGACAGUUUACGGCUCCCUAUGCCCGCGCAGUUGAAGAUGUCAGAGACUUGAUCUCUCUGCGCCUGCCACCAUGUUACAUCUCCUCAGUGAUAUUCAUGUUGCCCUUACAGCUUCCUGGUAUAAGCAAGUUCUUGGGAUUAUACAAACUGCUGCUUCUGUUUCCAGUCCAGAUUUCUAGAAAUGAAACCCUGCCGCCGUCGCCUCCGUCUCUGGGCUGCGCUCACGAGCGCCGCGCUUGUCUGCGACCGUAGCAGAGCCGCCCUGGCCUCCGCAGCUCUUCAGCCCGGUGCCAGGCCCCAGGGGCCCAAGCGGCUGCCGCCGCGGCUCUCCGUCCCCCUCCUCCGGAGCACGGGUCCCCUGGCAGGGGGGUGCAGAACGACCCCAGAGCAGGCUCUGCCCGAAGGUGCAGCGGCGAACAGGCCACCGAGACGCUCGAGGCUGCAGUCCAGCCUUCGGAGGACAGGGCUCGGCACGCAGCCCAGCUCCAACCUCUAGGUGCGGCUGCCGGACAGUGUAUACAGAGCCAUCAAGACAGCAAGCAGAAAGCAAAUGGCGGCUCCCGCGGAGUGGAUUUUCGGCACAGAAACCACAGCCCCGCCAACAAUCCCAAUCCACAAACUCUCCCUGUAUAAAAAAUAUUC
RNAcentral lists this long non-coding RNA (1450 nucleotides) under Marmota monax (woodchuck). Lineage: Eukaryota; Metazoa; Chordata; Mammalia; Rodentia; Sciuridae. The record is from RNAcentral.